This 1364-nucleotide long non-coding RNA is filed under the name Malus domestica (apple). RNAcentral describes it as "long non-coding RNA (MDOM_LNC017724)". The record is from RNAcentral. Lineage: Eukaryota; Viridiplantae; Streptophyta; Magnoliopsida; Rosales; Rosaceae.
GCCAAACCCAACUAUCUUGUUGGUCCUCCAACUCCUUCAGACAAUCCUCCUCGAGAGCAACCUGUGGAUCAUCAAAUUGCUAGAAACAUUGGUGCAGGUCACUGUUCCACUGUUUGUAGUGUUCGGAGAAGAGCCGAUUGAGGUACGCCAACAUGUCAUCGUCCAUGUCCUCCAAAUUGUAGUUUGUCUGUAACGUAACAAAUAUUUUGAAAGUAUUAGUAAUAAAAGACAGUAAUAAAUAUAAAUAUAUAAAUUUUACAUGAAAAGCAUUAAAAAGGCGACGCUACUUACAGAUAAUUGGUUACACACCAUGUUCUUCGUCUCCUCCAACAUCGCCUUCCAAGACUUCCACCACAUAGGGCAAAAGGUCCGCACGACAUGCCUAAUGUCGUGGGCCAAUGCACUAUGCUGCUCCGCCGUUGGUGCUGCCCAAUGUCGCUCAUGGUAUCCGAUUGGGAUACGACCGUUGGUCACCCUGUUGACCUUUGUCAUCUUCAAUUGCCAACAAGGUCUUCAGGUGUUUUUCUUUGUUGCAAAGAGAUGAAAAAAAAUCAUUAACCCAAAACUAAUAGCAAAUCCUACUAAAAUUUUGGCAUAACCUCCCCUAUAAUUAAAACAUUUCCCAAAACCUUGAAAAUAACAAAAACAAUAUACGUAUCCAACACAAUGAUCACAAUUGUUUAAUAAAAGGUUUGGAACGAUGACAACUUUUUAAUCCUUACAUGACAUAACUUAACAAAUUCAACCUAAAAUAACAAAACUGAUUAGUUAACAUUCACAUACAUUUUCUUCCUCUAUUUCUCCUGAAAGUUACUUAUUGAGCAUCACAUCUACUUCUCUGUUUGAGGCCACUAUUUCCUUUCUCCUAAUUAGAACAUAUUUCCAAUUCGAGCGUUUUCAAAUACCACAACAAACUUCUAAAAUGGCAACAACUGCCAUCCAAGACGGACAAUUUUCAAGCUUGUAUACACAGGCUCUCGACAUUGCUGGCAACAUGCUUGGCAAAGAAUUCUAAGCUGCCGUAGCAAACAAUUCCAUAUAACCUUAUCCACAUUGACAUUUGUAAGACUCUAACAGUCACUACCGAAACUUGUACAACUCUAAAAACUUUGCUUCAUGAUAAUUACCAAGUUUUUUAUUUCCCAGUUAAACAUUUUCGCCAUUUCCUCAUCAUCAAAUCUCUUCCACAACACUACUGUUUCAAUUCCGUGAGAAACCCAUUUCAGUAACUAAGAAAUGACACAUAAAUUAACAAAAAAAUUGCAAAAACAUAAAAUUAACAGACAUGAAUUACGGAAUACGCACAAUUUCGAUUUCAUGACAAAACCCAUUUUUGAAAGUGAAGAAAUUGAGAACAAAAAAAA